Molecule: ribosomal RNA, 347 nt
Filed under: uncultured fungus
Lineage: Eukaryota; Fungi
Description: bacterial SSU rRNA
Rfam family: Eukaryotic small subunit ribosomal RNA
Source: RNAcentral
GUAGUCAUAUGCUUGUCUCAAAGAUUAAGCCAUGCAUGUCUAAGUAUAAGCAAUUAUACCGUGAAACUGCGAAUGGCUCAUUAAAUCAGUUAUCGUUUAUUUGAUAGUACCUUACUACUUGGAUAACCGUGGUAAUUCUAGAGCUAAUACAUGCUGAAAACCCCAACUUCGGGAGGGGUGUAUUUAUUAGAUAAAAAACCAACGCCCUUCGGGGCUCCUUGGUGAUUCAUGAUAACUUCACGGAUCGCAUGGCCUUGUGCUGGCGACGGUCCACUCGAUUUUCUGCCCUAUCAUGGUUGAGAUUGUAAGAUAGAGGCUUACAAUGCCUACAACGGGUAACGGGGAAU